This 253-nucleotide ribosomal RNA is filed under the name uncultured bacterium. Its description in RNAcentral is "partial 16S ribosomal RNA". It matches the Rfam family "Bacterial small subunit ribosomal RNA", at positions 524 to 776 of the family's 1533-position model. The record is from RNAcentral.
UACGUAGGUGGCAAGCGUUGUCCGGAAUCACUGGGCGUAAAGCGCGCGCAGGCGGCGAUCUACGUCUGGGGUGAAAGCCCGGAGCUCAACUCCGGGACUGCCUUGGAUACGGGAUCGCUUGAGGAUUGGAGAGGCAAGGGGAAUUCCACGUGUAGCGGUGAAAUGCGUAGAUAUGUGGAGGAACACCUGUGGCGAAGGCGGCUACCUGGACCGGUUCUGACGCUGAGGCGCGAAAGCGUGGGUAGCAAACAGG